CCUACGGGUGGCAGCAGUGAGGAAUAUUGGUCAAUGGGCGAGAGCCUGAACCAGCCAAGUAGCGUGAAGGAUGACUGCCCUACGGGUUGUAAACUUCUUUUAUAAAGGAAUAAAGUGAUCCACGUGUGGCUUUUUGUAUGUACUUUAUGAAUAAGGAUCGGCUAACUCCGUGCCAGCAGCCACGGUAAUACGGAGGAUCCGAGCGUUAUCCGGAUUUAUUGGGUUUAAAGGGAGCGUAGAUGGGUUGUUAAGUCAGUUGUGAAAGUUUGCGGCUCAACCGUAAAAUUGCAAUUGAUACUGGCAGUCUUGAGUACAGUUGAGGUAGGCGGAAUUCGUGGUGUAGCGGUGAAAUGCUUAGAUAUCACGAAGAACUCCGAUUGCGAAGGCAGCCUACUAGACUGCCACUGACAUUGAGGCUCGAAAGUGUGGGUAUCAAACAGGAUUAGAUACCCCAGUAGUC
RNAcentral lists this ribosomal RNA (460 nucleotides) under uncultured bacterium. RNAcentral's name for it is "partial 16S ribosomal RNA". It matches the Rfam family "Bacterial small subunit ribosomal RNA", at positions 338 to 795 of the family's 1533-position model. The record is from RNAcentral.